Molecule: long non-coding RNA, 2987 nt
Organism: Anolis carolinensis (green anole)
Lineage: Eukaryota; Metazoa; Chordata; Lepidosauria; Squamata; Anolidae
Source: Ensembl
AGAAAGAUACAAUGAAAUUCAUCUGCAACUGACAGAAAUAUGUAUUUCACACAAAAUGAUAAUGUUAUCGGUCUUUGAUAUUCACUAGGGUUUGCUUCCUACAUCCCCGCAGUGGAUAUCAACAUCUGUAGAUGAUCAAGUCCCAUUAUAUGCAAUGGUGUAAUAAAAUUGUGUUUCCUAUAUAAAAUGGCAAAAAUCUAGGUUUGCUUUUGGAUUUUAAAAAAACGAGUUUUCAAGCCAUAGAUUGUUGAAUCUGUAACUGCAGAGUCUAUGGAUAUCUAGUAGAGGAUGAUGGAAAAGAGAGCAUGAUGGAAAUGCAUGAGAAGUGGAUGCCAACCCAUGUUUUUGAAAUUUCCUCCAGUAGUGCAUUUCCAGUACCUGACUCCACUGCUUAAUACUAUUAUCAAAGCAUUGUGGCUACUAUUGAACCAAUUCCAAGUUCAUAUUUAAAGCAUCCACCAUACACAAUGGCUUGUUAUUGAUGUGCUGUAAUCAACAAUGUAAAGUGCAGCUAAUAAAAAGAACAGUCAGGUGAUAUGAAUGUUUUUUUUUAUUGUUUCAUCUAGGCUGGCUGUUUCAUCCAGAAUGGCUGUUUCACAGAAGUCAUCACUUGAUCAGUUUAAACAGAUUAGCAAGCUAUUUGUUUAUUUGUUUUACUCACUUCCUUUGCCAUGUUCUAUAUUGAUAGGACUGACCAAGCUGGAAAGUCCUGGUAAAAGAUGCCAUGGCUGCCAUUUGAGAACUGCUCAGUUCCAGACUGAGAAAAGGGCAAGAUGAUGAUGAUGAUGAUGAUGAUGAUGGUGAUGAAGAAGAAGAAGAAGAAGAAGAAGAAGAAGAAGAAGAAGAAGAAGAAGAAGAAGAAGAAGAAGAAGAAGUUUGGCUCAAUUAUUAUAACCAUAAUAUAGGCAUACCAACACUGGCCUGGUGACUUGCUUUGCACUAGAGAAGGUGUGUGAUCCAAUCAAUCUCUCUUAUUUCCUAACAAAGGAUUGGCUCAUAUCCUUGACAUGAAGUCUGAAAUGUAGUUUCAGAAGUUAUCUUUUAUUUUCUUUUUCUUUCUUUCAAUACUGAAUACAGAUCACCAGCCCUGUGUGUGUGUGUGUGUGUGUGUAUGAGAGAGAGAGAGAGAGAGAGAGAGAGAGAGAGAGAGAGAGCGCCUUCGCAAUGAGAGAGGAGAUUACAUGCAUGAUUAUCUUGAAAACAAUAUUCUAUUUUGUGCCACUGUUGCUUAUCUUUUGAGGUCAUGUGAGCCACCAUUCAUAAAAUGCUUUUGACAAAAUGCCAAAGCAAAUAAAAGUCGUCCCCCCAUAAGUGAUUUUGCCCUCUUUCAUUGCACAUGCUAGUUUCAGUACAGCAUUGGAUAUUAACAGAGAGAAACCAAUAAUAAAGCUGAGUUUGCAAAUGUAAAUAGUGAAACCUGGCUACUCGAUAAGGUCUAUAAAUCUCUACCCACAGGUUGUUGUUUAAUCUUUAUAUACAGGUGCGUCCCAAGGUUAUCUCCCUUGAGGGGCUUUUGGAACCUGUCAUCUGCUCAAUCUUUUAUCAGCAAAAAGCAUUUCCCCUUGUAACUUUUAUUGCUCUUUCUUUUCCAUGUUUCUUGUGAAACUUUUGUUGCCACAGGAGUGUGUAUCUCUCUCUCUCUCUCUCUCUCUCUCUCUCUCUCUCUCUAUAUAUAUAUAUAUAUAUAUAUAUAUAUAUAUAUAUAUAUAUAUAUUCAUUCCACUAUACCUUUCUCUAGCUACUUAUCUGGGGAGAACUACACACAGCUAGAACCGACCUAAGACUUUUUUGCUGAAGUGGAGCACAUUGGCCCUCCAUUACCUCUCAGUUAAAACUUUAGAAAGAAAGUCAGUGCUAUGCUGUGUAGUUGUUAAGAGUUCUGUGAAAAGUCUUGAAGAUUCUAUUAUUCACCAGUCUGUGAAAUUCAGAAAGUCAGAUAAUCUCAUGACCUGACAGGGUGUGUAAAUGGUGGGAUACAAAUGUGUGUAUUUGUGUAGCAGUAUGGUAUAAUGGUCUUUUUUUUGUAUAUAUAUUUUAUUAAAAUAUUUUCUUAUUACUUAUACAACGAAAGAGUGGGAACUAUUUAUUAAAGGAAAGUUUUGAAAAAAGAAGAAAAUAAUAAAAAAUAAAAAAUAAAAAUAAGAGAAAAGAGGGGGGAAGAAAACGGUAUUGGGCUUCCAUUCAUCUCUUAUUCCUGUUCCUUUUUCUUGAAAUACUCAUUGUUUUCAAUUCUCUCCCUUUUAUUUAUAAUAUUUUUAGUGUUUUCUCUCCUAAGGAUUGUACUUCAUCUUCAUAUAUUCUUCAAAUACUGACCAAUCCGUCAUUUUUACCCCCUUGCCAGUGUUCUUCUUCAAUAAAAACGUUAAUUGGUCCAUAUCCUUUAUCUCCCAAACUUUGUUUAACCAAUCUUCUCGUUCGGGGCUAUUUUCUUGCUUUCUUGGUAUAAUGGUCUUUAUGUUGUACUAAGGGCAUUGUUUACACUGGCCACAAAUCCUGAAUAAAAUCAAAAGUUGUUCUAUAACAUCCACAUGAUGCUGAGAGACUUCCAGCCCCCUAACACAGGAUAAAGCCAGAUUUUACCCUGUGUUAGCAGAAGUCAGAGCAUCCCCAAUACUCCAAAACUAGUCUGGUGUAAUUUGAAUCAGUCCAGCUAUUCAUAUCGGUCAGUGUUGCCGUCCUAUUUUCUCUGUGCUUCAUGGCACAUAAAAAAGGGGUGUCACUUAUGUCCUUUUCCCAGGUUGUGCAGCUCAACAAUAGCCAGGAGAUUUCCGGAGCUCUGUGGCUGCGUUUCUGUUGACAAACAACAGAAAAAAUGUUAUUGGGGUUUUCUUUUCUUUUCUUUCUUAUGCAAGUAAAAGCGGUGCCACAAGUAUUUUCCAAAAUGCAAAUUGCUUCCUGUUUUGAAAAGCAAAACACAGAAUGCUUCUCUUGAAACAUGGAGUGCAUCUGCCCUAGAAAGUUAUAGUAAUUUGAUACUACCUCUGUCA